CAGAUAUUAUUUUAAGUUGAAGACGAAAGGUACAUUUUAGUCCUUUAGCUAGAGGAGAGAAUGAUAAUUUUUUUUUUCUCAAGGUAGAUGUAGGGUUAAAGGGUGAGGAGAAGACAGAUGGUGUUGGAAAUGAUCAAAAAAAUAUCAUUCCAGGUUAGCCUGUAGGACUGGGUAAUAUACUGGAACUUGUGAACAAAUGAGGCCCAAUUAGCUGUGAAAGAACCCAGUCUUUUUUUGAUCUGUGAAAGGUCGUACAAAGAAAAGGGUACACCUGACCAUGCCUUCAGCUCUCGCCACUUCACAAAGGGGCAUUUGUGUCACAGGGGUUAUUGGUGGUAGAGUAGGAUAGUGGGAGUGAGUAUCGGGCAGAGAAAUGCAAGAUGGUGGAGGGGAAGGGGGGAUCACAAAAUGGCAGCAGGGGAGAGUCAGAGUCAUGAAAUAGAAGUUUACAAGAUGGCAGAAGAGAGGAGGGAGCACGUGAAAGAUUAGGGUCACAAAAUGGAGGUUUGGAAGAUGGCCAUGGAGAGGAGGAAGAUGUGUGGAGAAGGCACGAACAAGGAGCAUGCAUUGGAGUACCGGUGUACUCCUUGCUUGAAGAUGGAACAGUCAUCAGGGCUUCAGCAGAAGAGGUUCAAGUAUGGAGAAGAACAACGGAGUUGGUCAGGAGGCCAUCCAUGUAGUCAUAGCAUUGGUAGGUUAUUCCACAGCCACUGAUAGCAUCUAGGUGACUGAAAGUUAUGGGUGGAGAGAAUGGCAAGGGAUUCAUAGUAGAUCCUUAUCU
This 781-nucleotide long non-coding RNA is filed under the name Fukomys damarensis (Damara mole-rat). RNAcentral describes it as "lncRNA (ENSFDAG00000026315.1)". Lineage: Eukaryota; Metazoa; Chordata; Mammalia; Rodentia; Bathyergidae. The record is from RNAcentral.